RNAcentral lists this ribosomal RNA (253 nucleotides) under uncultured bacterium. Its description in RNAcentral is "partial 16S ribosomal RNA". It matches the Rfam family "Bacterial small subunit ribosomal RNA", at positions 524 to 776 of the family's 1533-position model. The record is from RNAcentral.
UACAGAGGUGGCAAGCGUUGUUCGGAAUUACUGGGCGUAAAGGGCGCGUAGGCGGCCUACUAAGUCAGACGUGAAAUCCCCAGGCUUAACUUGGGAACUGCGUCUGAUACUGGAGAGCUUGAGUCCGGGAGAGGUGAGUGGAACUCCGAGUGUAGAGGUGAAAUUCGUAGAUAUUCGGAAGAACACCAGUGGCGAAGGCGGCUCACUGGCCCGGUACUGACGCUGAGGUGCGAAAGCGUGGGGAGCAAACAGG